UUUAACAUGAGAGUUUGAUCCUGGCUCAGGAUGAACGCUGGCGGCGUGCUUAACACAUGCAAGUCGAACGAAGCAAUCUAACGGAAGUUUUCGGAUGGAAGCUAGAUUGACUGAGUGGCGGACGGGUGAGUAACGCGUGGGUAACCUGCCUCACACUGGGGGACAACAGUUAGAAAUGACUGCUAAUACCGCAUAAGCGCACAGGACCGCAUGGUCCGGUGUGAAAAA
This 228-nucleotide ribosomal RNA is filed under the name Clostridium fessum. RNAcentral's name for it is "Lachnoclostridium sp. SNUG30386 partial 16S ribosomal RNA". It matches the Rfam family "Bacterial small subunit ribosomal RNA", at positions 1 to 206 of the family's 1533-position model. Lineage: Bacteria; Bacillati; Bacillota; Clostridia; Eubacteriales; Clostridiaceae. The record is from RNAcentral.